This 699-nucleotide ribosomal RNA is filed under the name uncultured Shigella sp. Its description in RNAcentral is "bacterial SSU rRNA". It matches the Rfam family "Bacterial small subunit ribosomal RNA", at positions 1 to 714 of the family's 1533-position model. The record is from RNAcentral. Lineage: Bacteria; Pseudomonadati; Pseudomonadota; Gammaproteobacteria; Enterobacterales; Enterobacteriaceae.
UCGGCUUAGAGUUUGAUCAUGGCUCAGAUUGAACGCUGGCGGCAGGCCUAACACAUGCAAGUCGAACGGUAAAGCAGCUUGCUAUUUACGAGUGGCGGACGGGUGAGUAAUGUCUGGGAAACUGCCUGAUGGAGGGGGAUAACUACUGGAAACGGUAGCUAAUACCGCAUAACGUCGCAAGACCAAAGAGGUUCGUCUUGCCAUCGGAUGUGCCCAGAUGGGAUUAGCUAGUAGGUGGGGUAACGGCUCACCUAGGCGACGAUCCCUAGCUGGUCUGAGAGGAUGACCAGCCACACUGGAACUGAGACACGGUCCAGACUCCUACGGGAGGCAGCAGUGGGGAAUAUUGCACAAUGGGCGCAAGCCUGAUGCAGCCAUGCCGCGUGUAUGAAGAAGGCCUUCGGGUUGUAAAGUACUUUCAGCGGGGAGGAAGGGAGUAAAGUAAUCUUUGCUCUUGACGUUACCCGCAGAAGAAGCACCGGCUAACUCCGUGCCAGCAGCCGCGGUAAUACGGAGGGUGCAAGCGUUAAUCGGAAUUACUGGGCGUAAAGCGCACGCAGGCGGUUUGUUAAGUCAGAUGUGAAAUCCCCGGGCUCAACCUGGGAACUGCAUCUGAUACUGGCAAGCUUGAGUCUCGUAGAGGGGGGUAGAAUUUCCAGUGUAGCGGUGAAAUGCGUAGAGAUCUGGAGGAUACCGGUG